GUAUAGAUAGUUUAAUCAUAGAAUAGUGGUUUGUGGUGCUACAGGUGUAAUUGCAGUUAUUCUAGACC
Molecule: transfer RNA, 68 nt
Filed under: Coptosoma variegatum
Lineage: Eukaryota; Metazoa; Arthropoda; Insecta; Hemiptera; Plataspidae
Description: tRNA-His
Source: RNAcentral